Molecule: long non-coding RNA, 3049 nt
Filed under: Vigna radiata
Lineage: Eukaryota; Viridiplantae; Streptophyta; Magnoliopsida; Fabales; Fabaceae
Description: long non-coding RNA (VRAD_LNC006163)
Source: RNAcentral
AAAACUCUUUAAAUAAUAAAGAAUUAACCCCGAAAUCACAGAUCCCAACUCUCGUCAGCUACUUCAAUCCGAUCUUAUCUGCAAUGCCAUCUACUCUCGUAGAAGUACGAUCAUCGUAGGUGGAAACCACAACCACAAACAUGCAAGGGUGAGCAACCAAAAACAUCAUCAUAAAAUAUAAUACAGUAAAACAACAUCAAACACAAGCUAUACCAAGUAAUGAAUUCAUAUCUCAACGCUUAAACAAUAUCACACCAACCCAUUUAUAAACCAAUGUUGUUUUCCUUAUACUUUGUCGUCCCAACCUAUUACGCAAAACAGGGCGAUUCGAGUCGUCCUCCAUCGCAACUUCAGACCUAUCUCCCCGACUUAUCGAAAAGCCCUUUGGGCGAGACAUUCACCUCCUUUCGCAAAAGGAAGUGACACUCAAUCUCUGUCUCUAUACGAGACCCAACAUCCUUAUCGUAUCGCAAUACGAAAGGCUCACACAAACGAAAAUAGUAUGAAGAAAAUAACAAUUUCAUGUUCAUAUCACAAUUUCAUAGACAUUCGCAUUAUCAUUCGUUCCUCCAUAAAUCAUAAGAUUUAUCUCACCAUUCUUAAAAUAUACAUAGUCUUAACUACAUGCAUUGCUCACCGAUUAGAAAAACUUAUAACACAGCCUUAAUACCUUUCAUACAUAGUCUCAAUAAUAAUCAUUCUCAAUAAUAUAUAUACACAACCAAUCGUCAAGUUUAAACAUAAUUCUCAACAUAAUACAUGCGUAAGUUCAAACGUAAUACAAUAUUUAUUGAUACCAUCGUAGUUAUUUAAAAUGAAUCUGAAACAUGCAAUCAAAGUUUAUAAUAAUUAAUAUUCUCCCAAAAGUACAAUAUCCUUAAACGAAACAAGGACUCAAACCUAGUCUUUGAAGCUAUAAUCAUAAAUAUAUAUCAAUCACAAUAUAUAAACCAACCAACACGUAGUACAAUAAAACUUACUCAUAAAAUAUUAUCUUAUUAUAUUUAAACUACAGCUUAUUUAUUUAACGGAUAAAAUAACAACCAACCUUAGCUUUGCUAAUAUACCAUUUUAAUAUGAUAUGAAAAUAAAUUUAACAAUCCUAUAACCCAAAAUAAUAUAAUAUAAUAUUUCUAUUCACCCCUUGUUAACACCUAUUUGAAUAUCCAAUCACCAAUUCAUUAUACACUUUCUAAUUUCCUUUCUAAUUGACGUGGGACCCAUCACUUUCCUACCUUAUAAACAAAAAAAAAAUAACUUUCAAAUCCAAAAGAGACAACGCUCCUCCCUGUAACACAAUUUCUCACACAUUCCUCUCUCCCCUUCCUCAUUAAAAUGUCACUAUGACCCACACUAAACCUACAAAUCAUUAUUCUUUAUUUUAUAUUCUCCCCUUUUUCCUUUUUAACUCCCAGUAUCUAUAACUUUUCAUUCAUUUAAAACCACAAAGCCCCCAAAAGGAGAUUGACACAAUCUGCCAAAUUAACCUCACUCUUUAUAUUCUUUCUUUCUUGCUUAAUUCCUUCUCUACCCAUUUUUCAUUAAUUUAACUAUUAUAAUAUAAAUUGACCCGUAAAACAGAGACAACCCUCCAUCCUUUCCUUUCAUAUUCUUUUAUUUUCAAUUUCUUUUUACAUGAAAAUUUUGCACCGUGCAACUCUCGAGACUCUCACCUUCUCUUUCUCCACUUAACCACUAAUCCUCUCACGCUCCACCUACGUAACAACAUCCAAGAAUGCACAAGCCAUGUAGAAACCCUUCCCCUUCUUCUUCAUGCUUAUUUCAACCAAUGUAUACAUCACCCUAUGCAACCCUACUUCAUGUGACCCACCCCUUAACGAAGAAUCUCAAAGCCAACGUUUUCUUGCUAUAAAAUCAUACGUACAAUCUCAUCCCUUUUUUCACUAUUACCACACUCUCAUCUUCUCCACUCAAUCUAUGCAACCAAACCUCCCCUACUGUCAUUUAAAACAUAUGCCCACACCUCACUUCCAGGUCUUCUCAUCUUCCAUCCUUUUCUUUCCUAUUUCUGUGCUUCCUUUUCCUUUCCUCUUAAUUCUUCUCGCUACUUUCACUCAUGGCCAACUCUCUAUGAUACAUCUCCACGUCUCUCCUAAGAUAACACAACAUAAAAAAAAAAUCACGAGACCCUCCUCAUGCACCACCUUACAACGAGAAGAAACUGAGAGCUUAUAAUCUAGAGUUUCUUUUCUCCCAAAGCCCCUAGUUCUUAUCCUUCCAUGCAUCACAGAACCCAUAAAACAUUAUCAUCUGUAUAAAACAACACGUGAAUCCUCUACUACGCGGAGAAGAGUAAGUAUAUCGAAACCAUACACAAAGCUAGGUUACUCCCCUUACCUGGAAUUCCAAGGAUUGCUAUCUUCCGUUGGUUCAUUGCAAGGUUGACAAGAUCACAUUCUUCACGAAACACUCCCACUUUGUUUGGCAAGGCACAAAUGUAUCUAGGAUUGCUUUUCAUGUUCUCUUACGACUAGGGUAUAUAUCUUCCCCGUUUUACCAAGACAACAUAUAUUAUAUCCCUCUUUUCUUCUAACCCCAACACUGCCUAUACAUAUAAGCCCCCCUUCCACUAACCCAAUAUUCUAUUAAUAUUCCACUCCCUCUCUUAUGCAACGGCUUGGAAAAGAAAAUUAAAAACCUAACUUGACUUGGUCUCAUGAAAAAAACAAAACAGAUAAAACCCACGUUUAUCUUUUCCCUAAAAAUAAGGAAACUAAUUAUAAUUAAUUAAAACAAUUCUUCCUUUUGUCCACAAAACCACGUGCAACCAAAGAAAAUACAAAAAAAAUAGAAUUUGGCAAAGCAAUGUUAUAACCUUUCCGACUAGUAUACACUAAAAUAAAAAACCUCUCUCUCUCAAGCCAUGCACGGAAAACACUCAUUCUCUCUCUUCUCAUUGGUUUAAUCAAACUAAAGGCCCUAUUAUUUCUUUCUUCCAUUCACAAAAUAUAAACAUAUUAAAACAAAGGAUCCCGAUAUUCUAACAACGCAUAUUUGACAAUGCCUUUGACAACACCACGUGUCGCGU